AAAGUUCUGUUUUGGCGCCGUUUUGUUGUAUUAUAAUUAUCCCAGCCCCUUUUUUGUACAGCCAGUAAAAUUGAACCGUGAUCAUCCAAUCAGUAAAGAAUGAGGGCAGACCCCUCCAGUUCAU
Molecule: long non-coding RNA, 124 nt
Organism: Melanotaenia boesemani (Boeseman's rainbowfish)
Lineage: Eukaryota; Metazoa; Chordata; Actinopteri; Atheriniformes; Melanotaeniidae
Exons: 3
Source: RefSeq, a predicted model, not a curated record